AACAAUCAAUCCCAAUCCCCUCUCCCCAGUCCCUAGUAACUUUUCUUUCUCUCUCUAUGAAUUUAACUUUCUUGAUGCUUUACAUAAGAGAGAUCACUUCUAGUCAUUUUUAUAAUAGGUUCUCUUUAAAAAAUAUGACUUGAAUUUAAUGAAUGCUGAAUUUAGUGUCCUGAUUUCUUUCCUUAAUAUUUUAGCAUCAUAAGCAUCUUUUAGGAUUGCCAUAUUCUCUAUAUGAAUAUCAUUAUUAAUGGCUGAACAUUAUCAAAUUGAGUGGAUGUAUCAUCCUUUAUUAUUCUUCCAUUAUUUCCAAAUGUUUGCCAUUUUAUACAAUGUUGGAAGAAUAUAUUUUUAUGUAGAACUUUUAUCACAUUGAGAGGCAUUUCUUUUGUGCAGAAUCAAUAAAUUAAUUACUGAUUUAGAAGAAACAUGAACCUUUUUCCCAUCUGGCCAUCCUGCCAGAUGGCCAGGAAAAAGUUUUCAGAAGGUGCCAUUCACAGAUGGGGUAGGCUUCCACCUAGGGCUAUGAGGCUGUAAGGAUGUUGACCACUUGUAAAGUUGAUUCAAGCAUUGAAUAUCAAGGAAGGGUGGGAAGGGCAGUGAAGCCUCCAAAAUUCUUACGCAGGAGAGGCCGAGGGAUGCUGAUCUCCAUAGAGGGUGACAAAAGUUUUCCUUGAAGAAGCAUGUUCAGGUCAAGCACUGUUCUUUCCUUUAGGCUAUGUGUUUAUUUGGGGUGACUUCAGUUUUGCUGUGUGGAGUCGAAAGCCAUCCCCUAAACCAUCCCCCAAACCAUCUCCUCCACCCAGGGGAGAGCUGCUAUGAGUCAAACCUCUUCAACCUCUGAGGCUGUGUGAUUGCAGGACUCUGCCGUGAUACAGACUGCCAGCUGGGCCCUGGGACUCCGGCGUUGUCACGCCGUCAGGGCUCAUCUGUAACUCUCCUUUCAUCUCAGACAUCACUGCGAGAUGGCUCAUCCUCUCCCUUCCUAGGGAAGCCCUCAUCCAGGCGAGCACGCCUGGGCUUCCCCCCAGCGCGUUCUCGGUAGCGCGGUCUGAUGAACACUGGCCCAGCCGCCGUCAGCGGCUCUCCAAGAAGACGUCAUAACCGUGAGAGAUCUGGAUCGGCCCAUUUUCUCCCCUGUGGCGCCGUGUGCUUUGGCUGCCUGGCCAGAAAGUUGGGCCUAUAUUUACCUAUCAUUUUGAUGCUAUCUUGGGGUGUAAUUGGAAUUGAGCUCUCAGUGUGGAAAUUCUUACUCAGAACACAAAGGACUGAAGGGAGCUUGGAGGCUGAACUCCGGAAGGACUGUUCCCCGAGGCCUCUUGGCAGGAUGGCACUUGUUUCUUGGAGCGGUAGUGUGGCCAACAGUUCUGGUCUUCGUCUCACUGCGUGUCCCUUGAGACGUGUGUGGGGCCCUUCAAACAUCUUCGUGCUCGUCUGAGGGAUGCCACUCUGAUCCAGCUGGAUUCUGAGUCACCGGUCUCGGCCUUCAGAACCACAGUAGAAGGGAGAGAUGAUACAGGACCCCAUGUGUGGAAAGUUCUGUCUUUGUUGCCCAUACCAUCGAUGUGAGCUAGAAAAUGUUUUCAAAGUACAUUCAUUUCAAUGA
Microcebus murinus (gray mouse lemur) is the source of this 1603-nucleotide non-coding RNA. The record is from RefSeq and is a predicted model, not a curated record. Lineage: Eukaryota; Metazoa; Chordata; Mammalia; Primates; Cheirogaleidae.